AUUGAACGCUGGCGGCAUGCUUUACACAUGCAAGUCGAACGGUAACAGGCCUUCGGGUGCUGACGAGUGGCGAACGGGUGAGUAAUGCAUCGGAACGUGCCCAGAGGUGGGGGAUAACGCAGCGAAAGCUGUGCUAAUACCGCAUGUGAUCUGAGGAUGAAAGCGGGGGACCAGGCAGCAAUGUUUGGCCUCGCGCCUUUGGAGCGGCCGAUGUCAGAUUAGGUAGUUGGUGGGGUAAAGGCCUACCAAGCCGACGAUCUGUAGCUGGUCUGAGAGGACGACCAGCCACACUGGGACUGAGACACGGCCCAGACUCCUACGGGAGGCAGCAGUGGGGAAUUUUGGACAAUGGGCGCAAGCCUGAUCCAGCAAUGCCGCGCGCGGGAAGAAGACCUUCGGGUUGUAAACCGCUUUUGUACGGAACGAAAAGGCUCUGGCUAAUACCUGGGGCUGAUGACGGUACCGUAAGAAUAAGCACCGGCUAACUACGUG
This 492-nucleotide ribosomal RNA is filed under the name uncultured bacterium. RNAcentral's name for it is "partial 16S ribosomal RNA". It matches the Rfam family "Bacterial small subunit ribosomal RNA", at positions 30 to 507 of the family's 1533-position model. The record is from RNAcentral.